Molecule: long non-coding RNA, 192 nt
Organism: Melanotaenia boesemani (Boeseman's rainbowfish)
Lineage: Eukaryota; Metazoa; Chordata; Actinopteri; Atheriniformes; Melanotaeniidae
Exons: 3
Source: RefSeq, a predicted model, not a curated record
AUCCACAUCUUAUUCAUGUAGUUUUAACUGAAUUCUCUUACAUUUACACAUGCUGUUCAGUAUUUUCACUGACCUUUGACACACAUAGAAGAAUAACUUGUAGAUGCUUAUUCUCACUGACACAUCUAAAACCACAACAAGUAGAACUUUAAAUUGAACAAUGCCAAUAACUAUUCUUUACUUUAAUCAUUA